This is a long non-coding RNA of Platichthys flesus (European flounder), 1869 nucleotides long. RefSeq lists it as uncharacterized. The transcript has 3 exons. The record is from RefSeq and is a predicted model, not a curated record. Lineage: Eukaryota; Metazoa; Chordata; Actinopteri; Pleuronectiformes; Pleuronectidae.
AGCCGGGGUCUUGUUUACACCUCUGCCAACGCCAUCCCCCCCGCCGGCCGUGACGGGAAAACUUGUGACUCCACCGCGGCUCCGGGGAUCUGGUCUGAGGAACGUCUGAGAACCAAGGAGUUCUCCACCUCGGGAAGUUCAACCAGUCUGGAAGCAGAAGGUUCCUCAGGCAGGUUUGUUCAGAGAGAAGAUGUCUUUGAAGAGACGCCUGCUGUCCAUGUUGUUGUGCUGUGUUUACUGUGUGGCCUCGCUCUUCUGCCUCCAGCCCAACCGCAACAACUGCUUCUCUGCCGGAGCUCGGAAUCUGGCGUCCGUCGUCCAGCAGCUCUACCAGCGCGUCAUCCGCCUGCUCCGCACCACUCUGUGAUCCACAGCGCUUCCUGAACCCUGAACGCGUCCUGAGGUCAUGGCGGCUGUCGUCAAGCAUGUCCCCCUGUAGUGCACUGCCAAUUAGAGAAGAAAGAGAAGAAAGAGAAGAAAGAGAAGAAAGAGGAGAAAGAGGGGAGAAGAAUGGUGUCACUCCACCUGGGGACCUACUCGUUAUUCUCUGAAGUGCAAGAACCAUCUGCCCCGAUCGACUGCAUUCCCCCGACUCUGAGGAGAAUCUAAAAAUGUCUAUUUCUUCUGCAGAUGAAUGUUCACAUUACGGAUCUUUGCAGUGUGAAGUGGAGAGGAACCCUUCAGGCCUGUUUUAGAUGUAGGUUUUCAUGUUCUGUGGGUGGCAGUCGGACCUGAGGUGUAGGCAGGAUGUUCACAGGAUAGGCAGAGCAGGCAAUUACAUACUUAAUUUUAGAGGUUUGGCUUGAAGGGUUGAUCUGUAUAUGUCGACAUAGCCCCCCCCCCACACGUCUUCUGAAAGGCCCCUGGGUGUGAGAGGGACUGUUAUAAAGAGUGAAGCAUAAAAACAAACAAAUCCGAGAUGAAACCAUUGACUGUAAAUAAAGAUGCGACUCAGCCAUCUUGUUCCGAUUACAUGGAGCCAAAGUCUGUGCACUAGCAAACAUACAUCAGUGUGAUCAGAAUUAUGGAGGGGACAGGGUUUAUGACAUGUGACAGGGGAGGCGGGGAUCAAAUCCCCAACCUUCUGGUUUGUGGAUGACCCGCUCUACUUCCUGAGCCUCAGCCGCUCGAUUAAGAGUCUUUGGCUUCACUUUUGUGAAUCCGUUGUGUCGUCUUAAUUCAUACACAGUCUGUGGGUUAAACCAAGAAGCAUAAAUUAAUUUUAAAGAAAAAGAUCCAAGAACAAAUCGGAUCAGAGAAGGGAUCUGUUGAAAGGCUUGAUCGGUCUGAAAUGUUCGAGACAGCGAGCAGAUGCUUUACCAAUUAAGUGUCAUUUGCAUCAGUCAAACCUGAGAGGCAAGAACAAAACUAUUUGUUCACUUCCUACAGAGAAGGUUUCUGUUGCAAGAGCAGAUUUUAUUUGAGUUGGAAGGCUUGAGUGAAGUGAAUGGAGGUUAGAACUCAGUGUUCCUGCGUCAAGAGGAAGAAUCCUGUGGUAAAUGGGCUGUGAACCUUUGUCCAUUGAGGUGAAACGACUGAUGACUUAUCCUGACGUACAGCAGCUGAGUCUGGACAUUUAUUUAUUAACUCUAACUCGGUUAUUUGAUUUACCUCCGCUGUCGACGUGUACGUGCAAAUAAAAAAAUAAUAAACUAUAAAACUUUACAAUAAAUCUGAGUUGUUCAAUUACAUAUUUUGAGACAUGAAGAUGUAACAAAUAGAAGUCACUUCAAGCUUUUAUUCUGAAACCCCAGCUGUGUUUCCAUGGUUACGGGUGUGCCCAGCCCUGUGUCCUUUACAAGAGUGUGGUGCGUUCAGGGUGUGUGGGAAUAAAUCCUUCACAUGAACUCAACGCGUGUGAAGGACAAU